Molecule: long non-coding RNA, 246 nt
Filed under: Lathyrus oleraceus (garden pea)
Lineage: Eukaryota; Viridiplantae; Streptophyta; Magnoliopsida; Fabales; Fabaceae
Description: Pisum sativum (pea) long non-coding RNA (PSAT_LNC017575)
Source: RNAcentral
AAAAGCAAUGCAUCCACUUUGAAAUUUGUAUCACGAACUACGAGGUUUUGAUCCCUCAUUUUUAUGUUGGUACGUAGGCACAAGUCUGAAGGUCUUGCCAAACACAAAAAUAUAAUUAAUGAAUUAUUAAAAGCAAUGCAUCCACUUUGAAAUUUGUAUCACGAACUACGAGGUUUUGAUCCCUCAUUUUUAUGUUGGUACGUAGGCACAAGUCUGAAGGUCUUGCCAAACACAAAAAUAUAAUUA